RNAcentral lists this ribosomal RNA (467 nucleotides) under uncultured bacterium. RNAcentral describes it as "partial 16S ribosomal RNA". It matches the Rfam family "Bacterial small subunit ribosomal RNA", at positions 28 to 507 of the family's 1533-position model. The record is from RNAcentral.
GACGAACGCUGGCGGCGUGCUUAACACAUGCAAGUCGAACGGAAAGGCUCCAGCUUGCUGGAGUACUCGAGUGGCGAACGGGUGAGUAACACGUGGGUAAUCUGCCCUGCACUCUGGGAUAAGCCUGGGAAACUGGGUCUAAUACUGGAUAUGACCUUUCUCCUUAUGGGGUUUGGUGGAAAGUUUUUCGGUGUAGGAUGAGCCCGCGGCCUGUCAGCUUGUUGGUGGGGUGAUGGCCUACCAAGGCGACGACGGGUAGCCGGCCUGAGAGGGUGAUCGGCCACAUUGGGACUGAGAUACGGCCCAGACUCCUACGGGAGGCAGCAGUGGGGAAUAUUGCACAAUGGGCGGAAGCCUGAUGCAGCGACGCCGCGUGAGGGAUGACGGCCUUCGGGUUGUAAACCUCUUUCAGCAGGGACGAAGCGUAAGUGACGGUACCUGCAGAAGAAGCACCGGCUAACUAUGUG